RNAcentral lists this non-coding RNA (121 nucleotides) under Parafrankia irregularis. The record is from RNAcentral. Lineage: Bacteria; Bacillati; Actinomycetota; Actinomycetes; Frankiales; Frankiaceae.
GGAGGUGUGGCCCUCCGUGACCACCAUGCGGGUGGGGGUCGCAAACCGCCGUCAGCGGCGUCGCCUCAACGGGCGGGGUCGUGAGCGUGACGGAAAAGGCCCGGCGGUGACCGGGUCAGGU